RNAcentral lists this unclassified non-coding RNA (341 nucleotides) under soil metagenome. Its description in RNAcentral is "partial contains 5.8S ribosomal RNA, internal transcribed spacer 2, and large subunit ribosomal RNA". The stretch from base 1 to 120 matches the Rfam family "5.8S ribosomal RNA", at positions 35 to 154 of the family's 154-position model. The record is from RNAcentral.
GAUGAAGAACGUAGCGAAAUGCGAUAAGUAGUGUGAAUUGCAGAAUUCAGUGAAUCAUCGAAUCUUUGAACGCACAUUGCGCCCUUUGGUAUUCCAAAGGGCAUGCCUGUUCGAGCGUCAUUUGUACCCUCAAGCUUUGCUUGGUGUUGGGCGUCUUGUCUCUAGCUUUGCUGGAGACUCGCCUUAAAGUAAUUGGCAGCCGGCCUACUGGUUUCGGAGCGCAGCACAAGUCGCACUCUCUAUCAGCAAAGGUCAAGCAUCCAUUAAGCCUUUUUUUCAACUUUUGACCUCGGAUCAGGUAGGGAUACCCGCUGAACUUAAGCAUAUCAAUAAGCGGAGGA